GACGAACGCUGGCGGCGUGCUUAACACAUGCAAGUCGAACGGAAAGGCCCUGCUUUUGUGGGGUGCUCGAGUGGCGAACGGGUGAGUAACACGUGAGUAACCUGCCCUUGACUUUGGGAUAACUUCAGGAAACUGGGGCUAAUACCGGAUAGGAGCUCCUGCUGCAUGGUGGGGGUUGGAAAGUUUCGGCGGUUGGGGAUGGACUCGCGGCUUAUCAGCUUGUUGGUGGGGUAGUGGCUUACCAAGGCUUUGACGGGUAGCCGGCCUGAGAGGGUGACCGGCCACAUUGGGACUGAGAUACGGCCCAGACUCCUACGAGAGGCAGAAGUGGGGAAUAUUGCACAAUGGGCGGAAGCCUGAUGCAGCAACGCCGCGUGCGGGAUGACGGCCUUCGGGUUGUAAACCGCUUUCGCCUGUGACGAAGCGUGAGUGACGGUAAUGGGUAAAGAAGCACCGGCUAACUACGUG
This 468-nucleotide ribosomal RNA is filed under the name uncultured bacterium. RNAcentral describes it as "partial 16S ribosomal RNA". It matches the Rfam family "Bacterial small subunit ribosomal RNA", at positions 28 to 507 of the family's 1533-position model. The record is from RNAcentral.